GUCCCAGUGGCCGAGUGGUUAAGGCGAUGCCCUGCUAUUAUAAAGUAGUUUAGGCAUUGGGUUUUACCUGCGCAGGUUCGAAUCCUGUCUGUGACG
This 96-nucleotide transfer RNA is filed under the name Geotrichum candidum. RNAcentral describes it as "tRNA-Ser". It matches the Rfam family "tRNA". Rfam says of the family: Transfer RNA (tRNA) molecules are approximately 80 nucleotides in length. Their secondary structure includes four short double-helical elements and three loops (D, anti-codon, and T loops). The record is from RNAcentral. Lineage: Eukaryota; Fungi; Ascomycota; Dipodascomycetes; Dipodascales; Dipodascaceae.